RNAcentral lists this ribosomal RNA (484 nucleotides) under uncultured bacterium. RNAcentral's name for it is "partial 16S ribosomal RNA". It matches the Rfam family "Bacterial small subunit ribosomal RNA", at positions 30 to 507 of the family's 1533-position model. The record is from RNAcentral.
AUUGAACGCUGGCGGCAGGCCUAACACAUGCAAGUCGAGCGGUUGAAGGGAGCUUGCUCCUGGAUUCAGCGGCGGACGGGUGAGUAAUGCCUAGGAAUCUGCCUGGUCGUGGGGGAUAAGAUCCGAAAACGGGACCAAUUCCAGUAUCGGUCAUAGGGUGUAAAGAGGGGGUUUUUGGGACUAAACGCUAUCAGCUUAGCUUAGAUCGGAUUGCGUGUUGGGUGGGUUAAAGGCCUACCAAGGCGACGAUCCGUAACUGGUCUGAGAGGAUGAUCAGUCACACUGGAACUGAGACACGGUCCAGACUCCUACGGGAGGCAGCAGAGGGGAAUAUUGGACAAUGGGCGAAAGCCUGAUCCAGCCAUGCCGCGUGUGUGAAGAAGGUCUUCGGAUUUUAAAGCACUUUAAGUUGGGAGGAAGGGCAGUAAGUUAAUACCUUGCUGUUUUGACGUUACCAACAGAAUAAGCACCGGCUAACUUCGUG